Molecule: ribosomal RNA, 553 nt
Filed under: uncultured bacterium
Lineage: Bacteria
Description: partial 16S ribosomal RNA
Rfam family: Bacterial small subunit ribosomal RNA
Source: RNAcentral
UAGGGAAUCUUCCACAAUGGACGCAAGUCUGAUGGAGCAACGCCGCGUGAGUGAAGAAGGCUUUCGGGUCGUAAAACUCUGUUAUUGAAGAAGAACGUGUGUGACAGUAACUGGUCAUGCAGUGACGGUAUUCAAUCAGAAAGUCACGGCUAACUACGUGCCAGCAGCCGCGGUAAUACGUAGGUGGCAAGCGUUGUCCGGAUUUAUUGGGCGUAAAGCGAGUGCAGGCGGUCUUUUAAGUCUGAUGUGAAAGCCUUCGGCUUAACCGAAGAAGGGCAUCGGAAACUGGGAGACUUGAGUGCAGAAGAGGAGAGUGGAACUCCAUGUGUAGCGGUGAAAUGCGUAGAUAUAUGGAAGAACACCAGUGGCGAAGGCGGCUCUCUGGUCUGUAACUGACGCUGAGGCUCGAAAGCGUGGGUAGCAAACAGGAUUAGAUACCCUGGUAGUCCACGCCGUAACGAUGAAUACUAAGUGUUGGAGGGUUUCCGCCCUUCAGUGCUGCAGCUAACGCAUUAAGUAUUCCGCCUGGGGAGUACGACCGCAAGGUUGAAAC